AACGGUCACAUUGGAACUGAGACACGGUCCAAAACUCCUACGGGAGGCAGCAGUGGGGAAUAUUGCACAAUGGGGAAACCCUGAUGCAGCGACGCCGCGUGAGCGAUGAAGGUUUUCGAAUCGUAAAGCUCUGUCCUUGGAGAAGAUAAUGACGGUAUCCAAGGAGGAAGCACCGGCUAAAUACGUGCCAGCAGCCGCGGUAAUACGUAUGGUGCGAGCGUUGUCCGGAAUUAUUGGGCGUAAAGGGUACGUAGGCGGUUUAUCAAGUCAGAUGUUAAAGCGUGGGGCUCAACCCCAUAAAGCAUUUGAAACUGAUAAACUUGAGUAGUGGAGAGGAAAAGUGGAAUUCCUAGUGUAGCGGUGAAAUGCGUAGAUAUUAGGAGGAAUACCAGUUGCGAAGGC
Molecule: ribosomal RNA, 402 nt
Filed under: uncultured bacterium
Lineage: Bacteria
Description: bacterial SSU rRNA
Rfam family: Bacterial small subunit ribosomal RNA
Source: RNAcentral